RNAcentral lists this non-coding RNA (21 nucleotides) under Caenorhabditis elegans. The record is from RNAcentral. Lineage: Eukaryota; Metazoa; Nematoda; Chromadorea; Rhabditida; Rhabditidae.
UACGUUCUCUAACUUGAAAUC